Molecule: ribosomal RNA, 497 nt
Filed under: uncultured bacterium
Lineage: Bacteria
Description: partial 16S ribosomal RNA
Rfam family: Bacterial small subunit ribosomal RNA
Source: RNAcentral
GAUGAACGCUGGCGGCGUGCCUAAUACAUGCAAGUCGAGCGAACAGACGAGGAGCUUGCUCCUCUGACGUUAGCGGCGGACGGGUGAGUAACACGUGGAUAACCUACCUAUAAGACUGGGAUAACUUCGGGAAACCGGAGCUAAUACCGGAUAAUAUAUUGAACCGCAUGGUUCAAUAGUGAAAGACGGUUUUGCUGUCACUUAUAGAUGGAUCCGCGCCGCAUUAGCUAGUUGGUAAGGUAACGGCUUACCAAGGCGACGAUGCGUAGCCGACCUGAGAGGGUGAUCGGCCACACUGGAACUGAGACACGGUCCAGACUCCUACGGGAGGCAGCAGUAGGGAAUCUUCCGCAAUGGGCGAAAGCAUGACGGAGCAACGCCGCGUGAGUGAUGAAGGUCUUCGGAUCGUAAAACUCUGUUAUUAGGGAAGAACAAAUGUGUAAGUAACUAUGCACGUAUUGACGGUACCUAAUCAGAAAGCCACGGCUAACUACGUG